GUGGGGAAUAUUGGACAAUGGGCGAAAGCCUGAUCCAGCCUUGCCGCGUGUGUGAAGAAGGUCUUCGGAUUGUAAAGCACUUUAAGUUGGGAGGAAGGGCAUUAACCUAAUACGUUAGUGUUUUGACGUUACCGACAGAAUAAGCACCGGCUAACUUCGUGCCAGCAGCCGCGGUAAUACGAAGGGUGCAAGCGUUAAUCGGAAUUACUGGGCGUAAAGCGCGCGUAGGUGGUUCGUUAAGUUGGAUGUGAAAGCCCCGGGCUCAACCUGGGAACUGCAUCCAAAACUGGCGAGCUAGAGUACGGUAGAGGGUGGUGGAAUUUCCUGUGUAGCGGUGAAAUGCGUAGAUAUAGGAAGGAACACCAGUGGCGAAGGCGACCACCUGGACUGAUACUGACACUGAGGUGCGAAAGCGUGGGGAGCAAACAGGAUUAGAAACCCUUGUAGUCC
RNAcentral lists this ribosomal RNA (450 nucleotides) under uncultured bacterium. RNAcentral describes it as "partial 16S ribosomal RNA". It matches the Rfam family "Bacterial small subunit ribosomal RNA", at positions 354 to 796 of the family's 1533-position model. The record is from RNAcentral.